AUUGAACGCUGGCGGCAGGCUUACCACAUGCAAGUCGAGCGAGCGGCGGACGGGUGAGUAAUGUCUGGGAAACUGCCUGAUGGCGGGGGAUAACUCCUGGAAACGGUAGCUACUACCGCAUAACAUCAGAUGUGCCCAGAUGGGAUUAGCUAGUAGGUGGGGUAAUGGCUCACCUAGGCGACGGUCCCUAGCUGGUCUGAGAGGACGACCAGCCACACUGGACCUGGGACACGUUCCACACUCCUACGUGAGGCAGCUGUGGGGAAUAUUGCACAAUGGGGUCAAGCCUGAUGAAGCCAUGCCGCGUGUGGGAAGAAGGCCUUCGGGUUGUAAAGCACUUUCAGCGAGGAGGCGUUACUCGCAGCAAAAGCACCGGCUAACUCCGUGCCAGCAGCCGCGGUAAUUC
Molecule: ribosomal RNA, 406 nt
Filed under: uncultured bacterium
Lineage: Bacteria
Description: partial 16S ribosomal RNA
Rfam family: Bacterial small subunit ribosomal RNA
Source: RNAcentral